Molecule: ribosomal RNA, 253 nt
Filed under: uncultured bacterium
Lineage: Bacteria
Description: partial 16S ribosomal RNA
Rfam family: Bacterial small subunit ribosomal RNA
Source: RNAcentral
UACGUAGGUGGCAAGCGUUGUCCGGAAUCAUUGGGCGUAAAGGGCGCGUAGGUGGUUCUGUAUGUCUACCGUGAAAGCGUACGGCUCAACCGUAUUUUGUCGGUAGAAACUGCAGGACUUGAGGCUGGGAGGGGCUGGUGGAAUUCCCUGUGUAGCGGUGAAAUGCGUAGAGAUGGGGGAGAACACUCGUGGCGAAGGCGGCCAGCUAGACCAGUUCUGACACUGAGGCGCGACAGCGUGGGGAGCAAACAGG